AGUGAAUAGAUACCCGGGUAGUCCCAGCCGUAAACGAUGCUCGCUAGGUGUCAGGCAUGGCGCGACCGUGUCUGGUGCCGCAGGGAAGCCGUGAAGCGAGCCACCUGGGAAGUACGGCCGCAAGGCUGAAACUUAAAGGAAUUGGCGGGGGAGCACAACAACGGGUGGAGCCUGCGGUUUAAUUGGACUCAACGCCGAACAACUCACCGGGGGCGACAGCAAUAUGUAGGCCAAGCUGAAGACUUUGCCUGAAUCGCUGAGAGGAGGUGCAUGGCCGUCGCCAGUUCGUACUGUGAAGCAUCCUGUUAAGUCAGGCAACGAGCGAGACCCGUGCCCACUGUUACCAGCAUGUCCUCCGGGACGAUGGGUACUCUGUGGGGACCGCCGAUGUUAAAUCGGAGGAAGGUGCGGGCCACGGUAGGUCAGUAUGCCCCGAAUCUCCCGGGCUACACGCGGGCUACAAUGGAUGGGACAAUGGGUCCCUCCCCUGAAAGGGGCUGGUAAUCUCACAAACCCAUUCGUAGUUCGGAUCGAGGGCUGUAAC
This 544-nucleotide ribosomal RNA is filed under the name uncultured bacterium. Its description in RNAcentral is "bacterial SSU rRNA". It matches the Rfam family "Archaeal small subunit ribosomal RNA", at positions 725 to 1267 of the family's 1478-position model. The record is from RNAcentral.